This 305-nucleotide ribosomal RNA is filed under the name uncultured bacterium. RNAcentral's name for it is "bacterial SSU rRNA". It matches the Rfam family "Bacterial small subunit ribosomal RNA", at positions 335 to 656 of the family's 1533-position model. The record is from RNAcentral.
CUUCCUACGGGGCGCAGCAGUCGGGAAUAUUGCACAAUGGAGGAAACUCUGAUGCAGUGACGCCGCGUGCAGGAAGAAGGUUUUAGGAUUGUAAACUGCUUUAGACAGGAAAGAAAAAAGACAGUACCUGUAGAAUAAGCUCCGGCUAACUACGUGCCAGCAGCCGCGGUAAUACGUAGGGAGCAAGCGUUAUCCGGAUUUAUUGGGUGUAAAGGGUGCGUAGACGGGAAUUUAAGUUAGUUGUGAAAUACCUCGGCUUAACUGAGGAACUGCAACUAAAACUGAAUUUCUUGAGUGCUGGAGAG